UAGUAUAGUGGUGAGUAUUCCCACCUGUCACGUGGGAGACCUGGGUUUGAUUCCCCG
RNAcentral lists this transfer RNA (57 nucleotides) under Loxodonta africana (African savanna elephant). It matches the Rfam family "tRNA", at positions 8 to 63 of the family's 71-position model. Rfam says of the family: Transfer RNA (tRNA) molecules are approximately 80 nucleotides in length. Their secondary structure includes four short double-helical elements and three loops (D, anti-codon, and T loops). Lineage: Eukaryota; Metazoa; Chordata; Mammalia; Proboscidea; Elephantidae. The record is from Rfam by way of RNAcentral.